RNAcentral lists this ribosomal RNA (253 nucleotides) under uncultured bacterium. RNAcentral describes it as "partial 16S ribosomal RNA". It matches the Rfam family "Bacterial small subunit ribosomal RNA", at positions 524 to 776 of the family's 1533-position model. The record is from RNAcentral.
UACAGGGGGUGCAAGCGUUGUUCGGAAUUACUGGGCGUAAAGGGAGCGUAGGCGGAACUACAAGACAGAGGUUAAAUCUCCGGGCUCAACCUGGAACUUGCCUUUGUGACUGUGGUUCUUGAGUAUGGUAGAGGUUGGCGGAAUUUCCGGUGUAGCGGUGGAAUGCGUAGAGAUCGGAAAGAACACCAGAGGCGAAGGCGGCCAACUGGACCAAUACUGACGCUGAGGCUCGAAAGCGUGGGGAGCAAACAGG